Molecule: transfer RNA, 87 nt
Filed under: Methanobacteriota archaeon
Lineage: Archaea; Methanobacteriati; Methanobacteriota
Also listed under: 3 other names
Description: Euryarchaeota archaeon tRNA-Leu
Rfam family: tRNA
About the family: Transfer RNA (tRNA) molecules are approximately 80 nucleotides in length. Their secondary structure includes four short double-helical elements and three loops (D, anti-codon, and T loops).
Source: RNAcentral
GCAGGGGUGGCUGAGUUGGUCAAAGGCGCCGGGCUUAAGAUCCGGUCUCGUAUGAGUUCGUGGGUUCGGAUCCCACCCCCUGCACCA